UGCUGUGAGUCUUAUCAUGAGUGCG
This 25-nucleotide non-coding RNA is filed under the name Mus musculus (house mouse). Lineage: Eukaryota; Metazoa; Chordata; Mammalia; Rodentia; Muridae. The record is from RNAcentral.